CUACGGGUGGCUGCAGUGGGGAAUAUUGGACAAUGGGGGAAACCCUGAUCCAGCAAUGCCGCGUGUGUGAAGAAGGCCUGCGGGUUGUAAAGCACUUUCGGUUGGGAGGACUGCUUCUAGCACUAAUAUUGUUGGAAGUUGACGUUACCUUCAGAAGAAGCACCGGCUAACUCCGUGCCAGCAGCCGCGGUAAUACGGAGGGUGCAUGCGUUAACCGGAAUUACUGGGCGUAAAGCGCGCGUAGGCGGCUAGAUCAGUCGGGUGUGAAAGCCCCGGGCUUAACCUGGGAACUGCAUCCGAUACUGGCUAGCUUGAGUACAGGAGAGGAGAGUGGAAUUCCACAUGUAGCGGUGAAAUGCGUAGAUAUGUGGAGGAACACCAAUGGCGAAGGCAGCUCUCUGGCCUGAUACUGACGCUGAGGUGCGAAAGCGUGGGGAGCAAACAGGAUUAGAUACCCGAGUAGUC
RNAcentral lists this ribosomal RNA (465 nucleotides) under uncultured bacterium. Its description in RNAcentral is "partial 16S ribosomal RNA". It matches the Rfam family "Bacterial small subunit ribosomal RNA", at positions 339 to 795 of the family's 1533-position model. The record is from RNAcentral.